GGAAGUAUAGCUCAGUUGGUUAGAGCACCUGCCUUACAAGCAGGGGGUCACAGGUUCGAGUCCUGUUACUUCCACCA
Molecule: transfer RNA, 77 nt
Filed under: Clostridia bacterium
Lineage: Bacteria; Bacillati; Bacillota; Clostridia
Description: tRNA-Val
Rfam family: tRNA
About the family: Transfer RNA (tRNA) molecules are approximately 80 nucleotides in length. Their secondary structure includes four short double-helical elements and three loops (D, anti-codon, and T loops).
Source: RNAcentral